RNAcentral lists this ribosomal RNA (257 nucleotides) under uncultured bacterium. Its description in RNAcentral is "partial 16S ribosomal RNA". It matches the Rfam family "Bacterial small subunit ribosomal RNA", at positions 524 to 776 of the family's 1533-position model. The record is from RNAcentral.
UACGUAGGGCGCGAGCGUUGUCCGGAAUUAUUGGGCGUAAAGGAGCUCGUAGGCGGUUUGUCGCGUCUGCCGUGAAAAGUCCGGGGGCUCAACUCCGGAUCUGCGGUGGGUACGGGCAGACUAGAGUGAUGUAGGGGAGACUGGAAUUCCUGGUGUAGCGGUGAAAAUGCGCAGAUAUCAGGAGGAACACCGAUGGCGAAGGCAGGUCUCUGGGCAUUAACUGACGCUGAGGAGCGAAAGCAUGGGGAGCGAACAGG